This 472-nucleotide ribosomal RNA is filed under the name uncultured bacterium. RNAcentral describes it as "bacterial SSU rRNA". It matches the Rfam family "Bacterial small subunit ribosomal RNA", at positions 355 to 825 of the family's 1533-position model. The record is from RNAcentral.
UGGGGAAUAUUGGACAAUGGGCGAAAGCCUGAUCCAGCCAUGCCGCGUGUGUGAAGAAGGUCUUCGGAUUGUAAAGCACUUUAAGUUGGGAGGAAGGGUUGUAGAUUAAUACUCUGCAAUUUUGACGUUACCGACAGAAUAAGCACCGGCUAACUCUGUGCCAGCAGCCGCGGUAAUACAGAGGGUGCAAGCGUUAAUCGGAAUUACUGGGCGUAAAGCGCGCGUAGGUGGUUAGUUAAGUUGGAUGUGAAAUCCCCGGGCUCAACCUGGGAACUGCAUUCAAAACUGACAAGCUAGAGUAUGGUAGAGGGUGGUGGAAUUUCCUGUGUAGCGGUGAAAUGCGUAGAUAUAGGAAGGAACACCAGUGGCGAAGGCGACCACCUGGACUGAUACUGACACUGAGGUGCGAAAGCGUGGGGAGCAAACAGGAUUAGAUACCCCAGUAGUCCCUGAGCGGGCUGGCAAGGCGCAU